This 407-nucleotide ribosomal RNA is filed under the name uncultured bacterium. RNAcentral's name for it is "partial 16S ribosomal RNA". It matches the Rfam family "Bacterial small subunit ribosomal RNA", at positions 28 to 526 of the family's 1533-position model. The record is from RNAcentral.
GAUGAACGCUAGCUACAGGCUUAACACAUGCAAGUCGAGGGACCGGCGCACGGGAGAGUAACGCGUAUCCAACCUUCCCAUUACUGUGGGAUAACCUGCCGAAAGGCUGCCUCAUACCGCAGGGUAAUGGAUGGGGAUGGGUCUGAGUAGUUUGUUGGCGGGGUAACGGCCCACCAAGGCUACGAGGAGUAGGGGUGCUGAGAGGAAGGCCCCCCACAUUGGAACUGAGACACGGUCCAAAAUCCUAGGGGAGGGAGCGGUGAGGAAUAUUGGUCAAGGGACGCAAGUGUGAACAAGCCACGUAGCGUGCAGGAGGACGGCCUAGGGGUUGUCAAUUGCUUUUGUAUGGGGCUAGGUACCAGAUGAAGAAGGACCGGCUAAUUCCGUGCCAGCCGCCGCGGUAAUAC